This 131-nucleotide microRNA precursor is filed under the name Gossypium barbadense (sea-island cotton). RNAcentral describes it as "MIR7502 microRNA precursor family". It matches the Rfam family "MIR7502 microRNA precursor family". The record is from Rfam by way of RNAcentral. Lineage: Eukaryota; Viridiplantae; Streptophyta; Magnoliopsida; Malvales; Malvaceae. RNAcentral also lists the same sequence under 2 other names.
UGUUAAAAAAGUCAUCCAUUUCUAGUGUUAAAAAAUUGGCUUGACUAACAUAAUAACUAAACACCACAUGUGCCUUAUUCAUAUGUAUAUUAACUGAUUUUUAAUAGUAGAGAUAGAUGAAAUUUUUAACA